UCUUUGGUCAUUUUAGAGGAAGUAAAAGUCGUAACAAGGUUUCCGUAGGUGAACCUGCGGAAGGAUCAUUACCUAGAGUUGUAGGCUUUGCCUGCUAUCUCUUACCCAUGUCUUUUGAGUACCUUCGUUUCCUCGGCGGGUCCGCCCGCCGAUUGGACAACAUUUAAACCCUUUGUAGUUGCAAUCAGCGUCUGAAAAAACUUAAUAGUUACAACUUUCAACAACGGAUCUCUUGGUUCUGGCAUCGAUGAAGAACGCAGCGAAAUGCGAUAAGUAGUGUGAAUUGCAGAAUUCAGUGAAUCAUCGAAUCUUUGAACGCACAUUGCGCCCCUUGGUAUUCCAUGGGGCAUGCCUGUUCGAGCGUCAUUUGUACCUUCAAGCUCUGCUUGGUGUUGGGUGUUUGUCUCGCCUCUGCGUGUAGACUCGCCUCAAAACAAUUGGCAGCCGGCGUAUUGAUUUCGGAGCGCAGUACAUCUCGCGCUUUGCACUCAUAACGACGACGUCCAAAAGUACAUUUUUACACUCUUGACCUCGGAUCAGGUAGGGAUACCCGCUGAACUUAAGCAUAUCAAUAA
RNAcentral lists this ribosomal RNA (575 nucleotides) under Phoma sp. P7E4. RNAcentral's name for it is "eukaryotic LSU rRNA". The stretch from base 213 to 366 matches the Rfam family "5.8S ribosomal RNA". Lineage: Eukaryota; Fungi; Ascomycota; Dothideomycetes; Pleosporales; Didymellaceae. The record is from RNAcentral.